AGCUUGGAUUUCGCCUGGUUUACCUAGCUGACCACAGGCGGCCAUUUGAUCGUCUCCUCUACUCAAUCGCAGAAGCACAACACAUCCUGCUUCAGCAAGAAUGUUUCUGAACUCAAUUAUCUUCUCCUUUUUGGUGGGUUUGAAGAAGGAUCCAGAAUGAGGGUUGAAAGAAAUCAGGUUAAUCUUGCAUGGAAUACCCUGGACAAGGUUGAUUAGUCUCUUUGCAUCCUCAACUGGUAGGUUUGAAGAAGGAUCCAGAAUGAGGGUUAAAAGAAAUCAGGUUAAUCUUGCAUGGAAUACCCUGGACAAGAUUGAUUAGUCUCUUUGCAUCCUCAAUACUGCAAU
Molecule: long non-coding RNA, 345 nt
Filed under: Nicotiana benthamiana
Lineage: Eukaryota; Viridiplantae; Streptophyta; Magnoliopsida; Solanales; Solanaceae
Description: long non-coding RNA (NBEN_LNC038490)
Source: RNAcentral